RNAcentral lists this ribosomal RNA (394 nucleotides) under uncultured bacterium. RNAcentral describes it as "partial 16S ribosomal RNA". It matches the Rfam family "Bacterial small subunit ribosomal RNA", at positions 523 to 918 of the family's 1533-position model. The record is from RNAcentral.
AUACGUAGGGGGCUAGCGUUAUCCGGAAUUACUGGGCGUAAAGGGUGCGUAGGUGGUCUCUUAAGUCAGAAGUGAAAGGCUACGGCUCAACCGUAGUAAGCUUUUGAAACUAAGAGACUUGAGUGCAGGAGAGGAGGGUAGAAUUCCUAGUGUAGCGGUGAAAUGCGUAGAUAUUAGGGGGAAUACCAGUUGCGAAGGCGGCUCUCUGGACUGUAACUGACACUGGGGCACGAAAGCGUGGGGAGCAAACAGGGUUAGAUACCCUGGUAGUCCACGCCGUAAACGAUGAGUACUAGCUGUCGGGGGUUACCCCCCUCGGUGGCGCAGCUAACGCAUUAAGUACUCCGCCUGGGAAGUACGCUCGCAAGAGUGAAACUCAAAUGAAUUGGCGGGG